RNAcentral lists this ribosomal RNA (279 nucleotides) under uncultured Actinomycetales bacterium. RNAcentral describes it as "partial 16S ribosomal RNA". It matches the Rfam family "Bacterial small subunit ribosomal RNA", at positions 524 to 802 of the family's 1533-position model. Lineage: Bacteria; Bacillati; Actinomycetota; Actinomycetes; Actinomycetales. The record is from RNAcentral.
UACGUANGGCGCAAGCGUUAUCCGGAAUUAUUGGGCGUAAAGAGCUCGUAGGCGGUUUGUCGCGUCUGCCGUGAAAGUCCGGGGCUUAACCCCGGAUCUGCGGUGGGUACGGGCAGACUAGAGUGCAGUAGGGGAGACUGGAAUUCCUGGUGUAGCGGUGAAAUGCGCAGAUAUCAGGAGGAACACCGAUGGCGAAGGCAGGUCUCUGGGCUGUAACUGACGCUGAGGAGCGAAAGCAUGGGGAGCGAACAGGAUUAGAUACCCUGGUAGUCAAGGGCG